GGAAUCCUUUGGAAGUCCUGUCUUGCUGACAGAUAGGUCCCUUUGGAACAGAUUGGAGGUCUUCUCCCCACAGCAGAGGAAAAACAACAACAGCAACAACAAUACAAAAUGACAACAGAAAAAGCAAGGUCUCCCUAUCCUUGGGGCACAACAAUAUUGAAAUAUGUACCAAUUAAUAACCCUACAAUGGUCUCACAUGUUCAAGUAGAAUAAAAGAGAC
RNAcentral lists this long non-coding RNA (220 nucleotides) under Homo sapiens (human). RNAcentral describes it as "HSALNT0308661". The record is from RNAcentral. Lineage: Eukaryota; Metazoa; Chordata; Mammalia; Primates; Hominidae.